Xyrichtys novacula (pearly razorfish) is the source of this 1124-nucleotide non-coding RNA. The record is from the annotation of a GenBank genome assembly. Lineage: Eukaryota; Metazoa; Chordata; Actinopteri; Labriformes; Labridae.
GGCCAGUGAGGACAAAAAUAAAGUUAUAAGACUUUUAAAAAUGUGGAUAUUUGGGUCCUCUUUGGCGCCCCCUAGAACGUAAACCGUGGGGUACAGCGUCAUGAUUUUUACAACUUUGAAUGGCCAUGGGGUGUAGAUUUGCCUGAGCAAAUGUGGUGUCAGUGGGACGAAAGCUUUAGGAGGAGUUAGCCACAUUCCAAUGUGUGCGAAUCGGCAAAAAAUGCGAAAUCGCCCUUUAACCGUACAUUUUACAGAUACGCGCACAUUGACUUUUUCGUAGAUCUUAUUGAGAUACACUUGAUUGUCAAAUUUUGUGUCAAUAUGACAAAGCGUACAGGCAUGACACUCAACAAUGUGUAUUUUCGCCUUAGGGGACAAGAAAAAAUGGACUUUUUUCUCAUGCCAUGGGGGGGCGCUCUUUUGGGGAGUAAAAAUUCCUUCACAAAUGUGUUGAUGGCUGGACAUUGCAUCAUCCUAGAAAACUUGGAGGCCAGUGAGGACAAAAAUAAAAAGUUAUAAGACUUUGAAAUAUGUGGAUUUUAGGGUUAUCUUUGGCGCCCCCUAGAACCUAAACCGUGGGGUGCAGCGUCAUGAUUUGAAUAACUUUUAAUGGCCAUGGGGUGUAGAUUGGCCUGAGCAAAUGUGGUGCAAGUGGAAAGAAAGCUUUAGGAGGAGUUAGCGAAAUUCCAAUGUGUGCGGAUCGGCAAAAAAUGCGGAAUAACCCUUUAACCGUACAUUUGACAGAUACGCGCGCAUUGACUUUUUCGUAGAUCUUAUUGAGAUACAUGUGUGUGUCAAAUUUUGUGUCAAUAUGACAAAGCGUACAGGCGUGACACUCAACAAUGUGUAUUUUCCCCUUAGGGGACAAGAAAAAAUGGACUUUUUUCUCCGGCCAUGGGGGGGGCGCUCUUUUGGGGAGUAAAAAUUCCUUCACAAAUGUGUUGAUGGCUGGACAUUGCAUCAUCCUAGAAAACUUGGAGGCUAGUGAGGGCAAAAAUAAAAAGUUAUAAGACUUUUAAAUAUGUGGAUUUUAGGGUUAUCUUUGGCGCCCCCUAGAACCUAAACCGUGGGGUGCAGCGUCAUGAUUUGAAUAACUUUUAAUGGCCAUGGGGUGUAGAUUGGCC